UGGUACUUGUACCGACUGGAUGAGCAGCGAACGGGUGAGUAACGCGUGGGGAAUCUGCCUUUGAGCGGGGGACAACAUUUGGAAACGAAUGCUAAUACCGCAUAAAAACUUUAAACACAAGUUUUAAGUUUGAAAGAUGCAAUUGCAUCACUCAAAGAUGAUCCCGCGUUGUAUUAGCUAGUUGGUGAGGUAAAGGCUCACCAAGGCGAUGAUACAUAGCCGACCUGAGAGGGUGAUCGGCCACAUUGGGACUGAGACACGGCCCAAACUCCUACGGGAGGCAGCAGUAGGGAAUCUUCGGCAAUGGACGAAAGUCUGACCGAGCAACGCCGCGUGAGUGAAGAAGGUUUUCGGAUCGUAAAACUCUGUUGGUAGAGAAGAACGUUGGUGAGAGUGGAAAGCUCAUCAAGUGACGGUAACUACCCAGAAAGGGACGGCUAACUACGUGCCAGCAGCCGCGGUAAUACGUAGGUCCCGAGCGUUGUCCGGAUUUAUUGGGCGUAAAGCGAGCGCAGGUGGUUUAUUAAGUCUGGUGUAAAAGGCAGUGGCUCAACCAUUGUAUGCAUUGGAAACUGGUAGACUUGAGUGCAGGAGAGGAGAGUGGAAUUCCAUGUGUAGCGGUGAAAUGCGUAGAUAUAUGGAGGAACACCGGUGGCGAAAGCGGCUCUCUGGCCUGUAACUGACACUGAGGCUCGAAAGCGUGGGGAGCAAACAGGAUUAGAUACCCUGGUAGUCCACGCCGUAAACGAUGAGUG
Molecule: ribosomal RNA, 755 nt
Filed under: uncultured bacterium
Lineage: Bacteria
Description: bacterial SSU rRNA
Rfam family: Bacterial small subunit ribosomal RNA
Source: RNAcentral